UACUACUCCUUCCGUCCUAAAAUAUAAAAAAAAUUAUUCGGAUGAGACACAUUCUAGUACUACUAAUCUGGACAGAAGUAUGUCCAGAUUCAUAAUACUACAAUAUAUCAUAUCCGAUCAAAAUCCUUUAUAUUUUAGUAUGGAUGGAGU
Molecule: unclassified non-coding RNA, 150 nt
Filed under: Oryza sativa (Asian cultivated rice)
Lineage: Eukaryota; Viridiplantae; Streptophyta; Magnoliopsida; Poales; Poaceae
Description: partial microRNA MIR468n-45 precursor
Source: RNAcentral